GCUGGGUAGCCAAGUGCGGACGGGAUAAGCGCUGAAAGCAUCUAAGCGUGAAGCCCCCCUCAAGAUGAGAUUUCCCAGUAUGUAAGACCCCUUGAAGACGACGAGGUAGAUAGGUUCGAGGUGGAAGCGCAGCAAUGCGUGGAGCUGACGAAUACUAAUCGGUCGAGGGCUUAUCCAA
This 178-nucleotide ribosomal RNA is filed under the name Paenibacillus artemisiicola. RNAcentral describes it as "partial 23S ribosomal RNA". It matches the Rfam family "Bacterial large subunit ribosomal RNA", at positions 2740 to 2925 of the family's 2925-position model. The record is from RNAcentral. Lineage: Bacteria; Bacillati; Bacillota; Bacilli; Caryophanales; Paenibacillaceae.